CUACCAUUUACUUACCACAGUUGUUAUUCCACCUCCCAGGGUGUAAACAGCUUCUGGUCAGUUCAUAGCUCCGAUCGAAGGUUCAUUGACUGCCAAGAAACAGCAGGCUUCAAGUCCUGAGACAACAAAGGCCACAUACAGACAGUGAGCAAUUUCAGUGUCAGUUAUGAACGCGAAUAUUUUGGUUGGUAUAGCAUUCAUAGUCGCCUGCUAUGGUGCAGUUUCGAGUUUGUCGUCUGGCCAAGGCGAUAGGCGUCGCGCGGUCAAGAAAGUACCAAUGAAGGACAUAUCAGAUAAAGACUUGGAAUGGAUUCAAAAAGUUUUGCCUUCCGGCCAAGAAGAUAAGCGUCGCGCGGUUAAGAACGUACCGAAGAGGGACAUGUCAGAUAUAAUCAAGGAAUUGAUUCACGAAAUAGAUGAAUG
Long non-coding RNA from Pocillopora verrucosa, 423 nucleotides. RefSeq lists it as uncharacterized. The record is from RefSeq and is a predicted model, not a curated record. Lineage: Eukaryota; Metazoa; Cnidaria; Anthozoa; Scleractinia; Pocilloporidae.